GAAAUUCUAGUAGUGGUGUUCAGAAAAAAAUGAAAUUCGAGCAAUGAGAUGGAAACCCAAAAAAAAAAAACAAUUAGCCGAAUCUAAGUGUAUUUAUAACAUGCCACUGAAAUUGCUUUAGUCAGACACAACUCCAUUCUUGAUUGAGAUGAAGUCCAUAACAAUAUAAAACCUUUAACAAAAAAUAUAUUCAUAACAAUAUAUAGCUUAAUAGAAAUAAUAAACCUGAUAAUUUAUCCAAAAUAAAAUAAAAUAAUAAAAAACCUGAUAAUAAUCGGUGCAUUGCGAAAUUAAAGAUAACAGAUCGGCACAUGCAUGCACGUUGCCA
Molecule: long non-coding RNA, 328 nt
Filed under: Brassica rapa (field mustard)
Lineage: Eukaryota; Viridiplantae; Streptophyta; Magnoliopsida; Brassicales; Brassicaceae
Description: long non-coding RNA (BRAP_LNC000023)
Source: RNAcentral